Long non-coding RNA from Tigriopus californicus, 7777 nucleotides. RefSeq lists it as uncharacterized. NCBI's taxonomy places the organism in Eukaryota, Metazoa, Arthropoda, Copepoda, Harpacticoida, Harpacticidae. The record is from RefSeq and is a predicted model, not a curated record. The transcript has 2 exons.
GUCUAAAGUUAUCACCUGGCACGCACGUGAGCACCGACCAACCAAGCUAGAUAUCAAUUUCAUCCUGUGGGCUUAGCUCACAAACAACCCACCAAAUCUCUGAGCAACCAACGCCGUCCAUACACCAAGAAGAGUGACGACGUCCUCCACUGUAUGAGUUUGAAAGGACUUUGGAGGGCUUGGAAUUAGAACUCUCAAGUUUGUGACUUGAGACGAUGACGACCGGGGAAGGUCUUAUUCGGACUGGGUGCUAAUAUGUCUCCCUCACUUUGUGAAAGUAAUAAUAAUAACAACAGCUACACACAAAUGGCCAGUUUUAGGGUCUGUGGAGGAGCCCUCGUAGAGCAUUCACAUACAGUACACACAUGUCGGUGUGUUUAUCUGUGGGUUUGUGCGUCGAGUGUUUACCCAACCAGGACUGAAUGACGAAGUUGGUUGGAUGGCUGCACCAUAAAGUAGGGAAAACCAUCUUCCCUGCAUGUAAAUGUCCUUGCAAGUCAACACGAGCCCGAAUACAAAUGACUGCUCUUCACAUCGAGCUCUUGGCUUUGAUGGCAAAGGCUUUUCAGGAGCGUACAAUUGUAUGCGAGAAAGAAUCAGUCAAAUUUCCUAUCCAAGGCUUCUCACUUUCAUCACAAAAUACAUCCAUUCAUCUCUUGUGAGAGGACUCAAAUUUCACACCACGUCUGACGCGAUUUUCCAUUUUAAAGCGAUACAAAUUGAUUAUCAAUCUAAUGACUUGGCAUGUCGUUGUGGUGAUUACUUGGACGAGGUUGGAGGAUGAACCUUUGGAGUCGUCAUCAGAGACGUUAAACCCGUCUACAUUCCCUCAAUGGCAACAAAUGUAGUGGGUGGAGGCAAUAACUCAGUCGUGUGAGAAGAAUUCUGCCUGAUAAUGGUCCUGACUGAGAAGCAAAUGUGGUUGCUCGAAUGCACCACGUUUAUUGGACAACGCCCGACCCUCUUUAGUGCUUUAGUGGGUGGUCUCAAAGUCUGCUCGGAAUGGGUUAAACAAUUGACAGUUCCCGAAAUUACGAGGAUAUCCCGUCUUUCUCUUCUCUUUCAUCCAGGCUCCACUUUAUUGCCUCAAGAGCCGAUUUCCGACCAUUUUCCAUUUCCAAGGAAGGACCUAGACGAUACGUGCACUAUUGCCAGCAAGUAUUACAUACAAAGUCGUGGAAGUGGAAGCAAAUCGCCCACGAGGCCGAGGGGAGUCAGUUCUCUCUGUAUGUACACUUUGAAGGCAGCUGUCAUCGACGAAAGGCCAAGCAAAUUGACUCCGCUUAGGAACUGGGGGAAAUGUGAGGAAUCCUGCCACUAUUUUGUGACACCCAAGCUAUCGGCCAACGCGGUGACUGGAAAGAUUUGCUCCCGACUGACCUUGACAAAAUAUUCUGAAAACAAUCUUGAACAUCAUAUCACGAGGUUCCGUAUAAGAAUUGGAAUAAUGAUGCAUCUUUAACUAUGCAAAGGGAAGGGGAAAGGGUUGUGUGGCAGAAGCCAGGGUCCAGAAACCUCUCAGUGAAUCUCUCUCUCUCUCUCUCUCUUUCGUUCUUGGCCUGGCAAUAAUAGGAACUGAAUAAAUUUGGCCCCAUUGCGAUUCAGAAAAUACAUUUCCAUAUUGAAACUCUUCGGCCAGCAAUUGGUUGAUGGUUCGAGAACAUAGACCAUCUGUGCUCCAUUCCAAUUCCAAGAGGAAGAUUAUGGCUCAUCGAGAGGGCCUCCAUUUGAUCACUUUGAAGCCCUCACUGGAAACCCACUCGAUUUGGGAGAGAGAAACGCUCAUUUUGUGGCAAUGACACGUUCAUGUAUUCUUCGAGUACUUUGACCGCAAACUGAUGAGAUCACAAACUUCUGGGGCAUUACUGGGGUUUUACUUCUCACACCAAUGGAAUGCCAUUGGGUUGAGGGCUUUUAGAAGACGCUUGAGGAUUAGAAACUGAUCUGAAUUUCUUAUGAACAACACAACGGGAAAUCGAUUGUUUGUUUGAAGGGUGACCAAUUUCUUACUUGGUCAAGCAGGAAUAGUUAUACCCUUCAAUUUCCUGGGGAAUGAAUUCAUCCACCUUUAAUGCAAUAUCAGCCAAAUCUUCGACGCCGUUAUAUCAAUUACGUAUUUCCAUGCUCUUUUCUAUUUCAGAUUAUGAAUUCCUCAAAAAUAUGUGGUUUUAGAAAUUCGAUUUAAGCGAGACAUUAAAAAGUGUUAUCUCGGAAAAGCGGACAAGUACCCUAUUUCCUUCUAGAAUUUCGAAUUCGAUACUAGGAGCAAAAAUGCAUUUGGAGUGCAAUUUAAGAGAAGGGUACCAGUGUAUUAACAGAACCUACCACAGUUGCCAACUUGGUACCAUUUAAAAUAUAUUCAGCUCUACAUCUCAAUUUGAAGCAGACCUUAGGGUUACACAAUCCAGACAGAAAUCCUCACAAGCUACGAGGUGGGUGUGCCCCAAACGCAAAAUCCAUUGUUAACUUUCGGGAAGAGCGCGAAACUAUCCCAACAUACCAUCUAUACCAACUAGCAUUGCUGUCAGAUGUUUCCAAAAAUUGUUUCUUUUCCGGUCUUUGUUUCUUGCCAGUAUUCCCACCCGAGAAAAAAAGAGAGAAGAAGACGGAGCCGAGAGCAAAAAAAGAUGGGCUAAUCUUGAAAAAGAAAUUUGUGGAACAAUGGCGGCCUAGUUUCGCCGGUCGAAGUGUUCCUAAUUUCUGGAACAACGAUUCAACUUGGCCGAAUGGCGCGUCUACCUUCGUCGACAGAGCAUUGAGUCCUUAACAAGAAGAGUUCCUUGCUCAAAGAGACGAAUGAGCAGUUGAGGACGACGGAGAAACGCAUGUCUAUCUUUGACAAAGGCUUGUCUGGAUGGACUCAAGGAUGUGGAAAAAGUACAGCAUUCCAAAUGGGUGGUCCUAAGCCCUCUACCUCUCCGGACACAAUGCCAGUAACCAGCCAACGGAAUAAGAGACGCCCCGAUAGGUCAUGGGAUCCAUAUUCCAAAGUCCCGAUUGAAACCUUUAUAAGGCCAUAACUCGUUGGCGUUGUUUCCGUUAUUUCAGCGUCGAUAAGGCUCUUUCUAAGUUGGUUGGGUGCUCAUGGACUAGAGUGGUCACUUCUCUGGGAACCCGGCGUGGAAGUGCUAUGGAACGAGGUUCCCAGGACCAUUGGUGUCCCCUACCAUUUUCCCUCAUGAACCCAUUCGAUCGCUUUGCAUGUUCAAAAUGCAUAGCCAUUGAAGGAAUGAUCGGUACCCUUUUUGGUCUGGCGGCCUUGAAACGAAACAAGGCCAUUGGUGAGGCUCGACGAGGGAAAACUAUCGGUCUGGAUCAUGAUCGAAGUCCGUCUGUUUCUGUUCAAACAUGCGAGGUGGGUCAAUUCCGAUCCCUCCAAUGAACUCGUCGACGACUGCUACGAUACGCACAACACAACACAACACUGUACUGAAUAGUACAGUGGAACAUGUCUACUACGCCUCGGGAGCCAACUUUCUUGGAUGACUGCCUUGAAGGUUGUGUCCAGAGUUAUGGUCGUUCAAGGUCGUCUGGAACCUAGUCAGGAGGAAGAAUGACUCCAUGAUGUUCAAGGAAAGAGUUGCUAGGUUGUGCGUGUGAUUCUUGAUGGUCUUUCUCAAGGCCCCCUCCAGAGACCUUGUCCUUGAGCUCAAUCAAUUGGUAGGAUACAAGGAGAAUCACACAUGUUACUCGUGGAGAUUGGGCACAGCAUGGAACGAACAAAAUGCACCCAAAACGGACACCGACCAUGUCGUUUUGUGCAGUGUUCGAAAUGAAAUAUGGCCAAGCAGGGACGGUUAGGUUUGAAAUAACAUCGGAACUCCAUUCCAUUAUCCUUUUGUUCCGCUCCAAACCAAACAUCAAAACAGCGGCUUCAAAUGCAAUACAAUUGUAUUUGCCUUCUCAGACCCUUGUAAUCAUGAUUAAAGAAGAGCUCUUCCAAGUGGAUGCGGGUGCUUUUUGUGGAGUUUCGUCAUAAAUAACGUGAUUAUGAACUGACAUUGGGCAAACUUUCUGGUUGGUUCCCGGCCUUUUUUGUCAACUUGCAACAAAUAGGGACAUGUCUAGGAGUUCUUCCUUUACGAGUGUAUUGCCAUGAAACUUUUGGUUGGGUGCAAGCCCUAUCAUGACACCCUCAGAGAAGGGCAGAAGCAAAGUGUUCCCGAAGAAACCAUGGUGUGUUGAGCAUUGUCCUUCAUGGCAAACCAAUCUUCAAAUUGAAAUUAACCAUUAUCACCAUCUCGGUCCCUUCUUACCUCUCACGAAUAAUGAUAGUAGAAACAACCACAACCGCAACAACAGCAACAACGACAAUGAGUCUGCUUGAUUGCAUUUUCAUCCCAGCUCGAGCGGGCAAGUUGGUAUUUCCUUGAACAAAUGCACUAAUUGUCGGUAGGUCGCCCAGCCUUUGCCACUACGAGAGUGUUUCUUUCUCAUUGGCCAUCGUGGUUGUGUUUCAUGACUGAAAAAGUUGCUUGCCUCAAAGUGUGUCAUAGAUCAAGGGAGCUUCUAACUAAAUACACGACGACCCUGCGUUGAAAGGAAACAGGAAAUAUCCGCUGCACCAACCAACCAAGAAGUAAGAUUGAGCUUGUUCGUGGAAGACCAUGGUAGUAGUCCAUACCCCUCUUGAUAGUCUUCGUCGUCUCGGUUAUUUUUACUUCCUCGGCUCCACACGGGGCCGCUAAGACUUGCUUCCAUGGGUAUAUUAAUUACCGUGUCAUAAGUUUUCGCUUUGGACCUCUUGGAUGACGUGGAAAAAGAUGUUUGGAGUGCUGGAGACGGUCGGUCAUCUCCGAAGAUUGGACGCUCUUUCUUUCUCUCAACGAUCCUAGUACAUCAUCGUCAAAGUGAGAGCUCGCUUCAUUCAAUGCAACCAACACGCCCAUCCUUAUGAAACGCCAUGGACAAUUUGACAAGAAAACCACAGACUGGCUAAUAAAUCUUGUCAGGUUUAAUUAAGUACACAAAGGCCGGGGAUCCUACGCUAUGAAAGAGAAGCGCCCAAGGUCUUUGAUUGAUGGUUGGCUUGAGUGGGAAACGAGCAAGUCAUCGAAAUUGUCUGCAUUGUUGACACAUGUCAAAGGCCGCCAAAGUUACGAACCGGCUUCACAAAGAACACGUUGGCGCCAGCCGACAAGGUUCUCUACGUGUAUUGUGUUUUAUUCCCUUUUGAAUUACUCACUUCAUACGGCCUUUUUUCCAAGUGGUUCUGAACCACAGCCAAAAUAGUCCUCGGCUUCAUUUAGCACCGUUGUUGACGCCAGGAAACUUACUCUCAUCAAGGACUUCACGUCAAGACGCUCUGCAGUGGUUAGGCCAUUUCUUGUCAAAGACCAAUAAAAACGUGUUCCAAAAACUGGACCGGUGGCUCAAGCUCUUGGCACAGUCCGGUAAACACUUGUCAUAAAUUAAUAACGUGUCCUUAUAAGUAGGAGCUCUUAGAGUGGCUUGUUCGUUCUUUGGAAUGAGUUGUUCAUUACCCAAUGCUCAAACAGUAUAACACCAGUACGUAAGUAGAUAGUUGAAGAGAUGGAUGAGCCCGAUCCCUUUUCAGUUUUCAGGUGCUGUUUAUCCCUCCAUCGUUCAUGAUUGCCAUUCGGCGCAUGCACCCACGAGGAUUCUUUUUCCUCUGUUGGGACUAGGACUGAGCCACCACCGAUAUCCCCCAGAUAAUCCCAAAUAGAUGGGGAUUCCGACAUGGUCACCAGAUUCAUCCGAUGAAGGUGGUGAAAGACAAGAAGCUAUUCUCCAAUGAAAGUAUCUACGCCACAAGCUCAGAGUUGACAAGUGACAUCGUUUCCACGGAAAGUGUCUCAACAUUGUACCUUUGUCUCGAAAACUAAGGGGGGCCAAUUGAGGGCGCAAAAAUGGUGGACAGUGGACUUACUUCCAUCAUGUUCCAUCCCUGUUCUUAGAUCUACUAUAACAACGCGAUUUGCCAAGCUCAAAGUUCGUGGAACAACUGAAGAGAGCAUGCAGGGUUGCCAAUCUACUUUGAGGACGAGCUCAUUACCUCUUGUCCCGUACCUGAUUUUCUUACUUGAAGUGGCAUUUUUCAUGAGCGUGUAUUACCAAGUUUUCUGGGGUCCAUUGUACGUGUUUGAGGUGAAAAGUCUCUUUGACAAAGUGGUCCAUCAUGAUCCUCAUCCUGGAUAUGACAACAAAUGAGCACUAAUUUCCGCUUGGACCGAAAAAUAAUUGACGUGUGCGCUCAAAAUAGAUCCAACAAUGUUCCCUUCCUAUCCACCAAACUGAACAUUAUGAAUCUGGCGAUGAGCCUCUCCAGAAUAGACCUCGGGAAGUGGCAGUCUUUUUGGACUAUUUGACCUUUGGAUCGCUUUAGAUCCAAUCGAAAUGGAGAGACAAACUAAUGACUCAAAUAUCUUUCCCAGUCGAACGGGUUGUCGGGACAACAAGGCUUUCUAAAUUUGGAUGCCCAACCCCUCGACACACGCACAAACCACAACUUGAAAAAAUUUAACUUCACAUUGGACGUAUUUGUUUGACAUGUAACUUAUCCACUUGACGAACCAACAUAACCAAAAUAGUGAUCCAAGUGAUCCAUCUUUCCUUCCCUUUGAGAGAGCCAAGCAAGUGAGUAAGUGAGCGAGCGAGUGAGUGAGUAAGUGGCACAUCAAAUCUCGAGUUUUCCCUGUUCAAUAUUUCGACUGGUUCAAACCGUCUCAGAGCAUUAUAGGCUUCUUCUUUCUCUUGUCUGUUCUUCGGGUUGAUCCUGAUGGCUCUUCUCUGGCCUUGGCUUCUUGGCCUUCACAUAUAACGGAGAAGCACUUACAAACAGUGGAACGACCACUGACUGCCGAGAAGCAAUGAAGACAAGAAGGCCACAGUUUAAACAAACUCUCUAAUCUUCAGACAAGUGGUUCCAGCCAAACCUUGGGAACAUUUCUUGCUGGAAGCACCCGAUUUGUGUACCGACACUUAUAAACACUUUCCACUACUUUCACGCUGAGAAAAUACGUCAGCACUCUCGGUAACCCGAUGCUUCAGCAUGUUAUCUUGCCAUUUCAAGGGACAGGAGGAGGCACAAUCCUGGGACACCAAUGUCCACGCUGUUCCAAUGAGGUGGACCACGAUGCUGAUUUCGAGAAGAAUUCUGCUGUUCAAAAAGUCGACGAAAACGACAUAUCGCCUUGUUCGCAAGGCCUCGCUCGACUCACAACUACCGAACAAGGCCAGAACGAAGACAAAAACAUGAAAAUCCAUCUCGCUUUGGACUCUAAGACGAGGUAGAGGAGAAGGAAGAGGGCGAGCGCCGGCAAUCCAAUAAAGGCGGGCUUCAACUCCACUGAGAACGGAGAUCGGAGAACGAGACUCAGAGACUUUACUCCCUGACUGACUGACUGACAGUAUCAGGGAGACAAAGUGGGACCCGCCAGAAACUCCAGAGAAGAAGCGGGCUUCUAACUUCCAGAGAGGGCCGAAGAACCACCAAAAGGCAGGAGAGGGAGAGGUGGAAGACGAAGGGAGAAGGAGGAGGGGGAGAGGAGAAGCGUUCUCCCAACCAACCGUUGGCAGGACCUCCAAGAGAGGGAGCAGAGAAGGUUCAAGGAUGUUGGUGUGAACGAAGAUUUUUUUUUUGAGAAGGCCGCAGUGAUCGCGAUGAGCAACCUUUCAUCCAAGUACUCUGCCACACUCAGGUUUGGGUGGCCAACAUGUCAAUAGGAGGCCUUUGUGAGCACAUGUACUCGUACCAUUACCAACGAGCCUGAGCAGAAACUCAAGAGCAUAAUACAUUUCUAUUAGACGAACCGUA